This 253-nucleotide ribosomal RNA is filed under the name uncultured bacterium. Its description in RNAcentral is "partial 16S ribosomal RNA". It matches the Rfam family "Bacterial small subunit ribosomal RNA", at positions 524 to 776 of the family's 1533-position model. The record is from RNAcentral.
UACGUAGGGUGCAAGCGUUGUCCGGAAUUAUUGGGCGUAAAGAGCUUGUAGGCGGUUUGUCGCGUCUGCUGUGAAAUUUCGGGGCUCAGCCCCGAACUUGCAGUGGGUACGGGCAGACUAGAGUGUGGUAGGGGAGACUGGAAUUCCUGGUGUAGCGGUGAAAUGCGCAGAUAUCGGGAAGAACACCCGUGGCGAAGGCGGCUCUCUGGGACGGUACUGACGCUGAGACGCGAAAGCGUGGGGAGCGAACAGG